RNAcentral lists this ribosomal RNA (492 nucleotides) under uncultured bacterium. Its description in RNAcentral is "partial 16S ribosomal RNA". It matches the Rfam family "Bacterial small subunit ribosomal RNA", at positions 29 to 507 of the family's 1533-position model. The record is from RNAcentral.
AGUGAACGCUGGCGGUAGGCCUAACACAUGCAAGUCGAACGGCAGCACAGUAAGAGCUUGCUCUUACGGGUGGCGAGUGGCGGACGGGUGAGGAAUACAUCGGAAUCUACUUUUUCGUGGGGGAUAACGUAGGGAAACUUACGCUAAUACCGCAUACGACCUACGGGUGAAAGCAGGGGAUCUUCGGACCUUGCGCGAUUGAAUGAGCCGAUGUCGGAUUAGCUAGUUGGCGGGGUAAAGGCCCACCAAGGCGACGAUCCGUAGCUGGUCUGAGAGGAUGAUCAGCCACACUGGAACUGAGACACGGUCCAGACUCCUACGGGAGGCAGCAGUGGGGAAUAUUGGAGAAUGGGCGCAAGCCUGAUCCAGCCAUGCCGCGUGGGUGAAGAAGGCCUUCGUGUUGUAAAGCCCUUUUGUUGGGAAAGAAAAGCAGCAGGUUAAUACCCCGCUGUUCUGACGGUACCCAAAGAAUAAGCACCGGCUAACUUCGUG